GAGGGAUCAUUACACAAAUAUGAAGGCGGGCUGGAACCUCUCGGGGUUACAGCCUUGCUGAAUUAUUCACCCUUGUCUUUUGCGUACUUCUUGUUUCCUUGGUGGGUUCGCCCACCACUAGGACAAACAUAAACCUUUUGUAAUUGCAAUCAGCGUCAGUAACAAAUUAAUAAUUACAACUUUCAACAACGGAUCUCUUGGUUCUGGCAUCGAUGAAGAACGCAGCGAAAUGCGAUAAGUAGUGUGAAUUGCAGAAUUCAGUGAAUCAUCGAAUCUUUGAACGCACAUUGCGCCCUUUGGUAUUCCAAAGGGCAUGCCUGUUCGAGCGUCAUUUGUACCCUCAAGCUUUGCUUGGUGUUGGGCGUCUUGUCUCUAGCUUUGCUGGAGACUCGCCUUAAAGUAAUUGGCAGCCGGCCUACUGGUUUCGGAGCGCAGCACAAGUCGCACUCUCUAUCAGCAAAGGUCUAGCAUCCAUUAAGCCUUUUUUUCAACUUUUGACCUCGGAUCAGGUAGGGAUACCCGCUGAACUUAAGCAUAUCAAUAAG
This 545-nucleotide ribosomal RNA is filed under the name fungal sp. E15009F. RNAcentral's name for it is "eukaryotic LSU rRNA". The stretch from base 178 to 331 matches the Rfam family "5.8S ribosomal RNA". Lineage: Eukaryota; Fungi. RNAcentral also lists the same sequence under 1 other name. The record is from RNAcentral.